UGCUUUAUCUUUUGAUCUCAUUCACUGUGAUUGUAGUACAAGAUAUACUUGGAUUCAUUUAGUGAAACACAAGUAUGAAUCAUGUUAGACGAUAGCUUCGAUCUAGAGUGGGGUGAAUAAAUCAGUAGUUAAAGUUUUUUUAACAUAAAAAAUUUAGAAAUGCUUAUGGAAAGUGAAAGAAACCCGAAUCAAAUCAUCUAACUAAACCCGCUAUCAAAAAGCCCGAAUAUGCGUAAUAGUAAUCAC
RNAcentral lists this long non-coding RNA (246 nucleotides) under Lathyrus oleraceus (garden pea). RNAcentral's name for it is "Pisum sativum (pea) long non-coding RNA (PSAT_LNC027999)". Lineage: Eukaryota; Viridiplantae; Streptophyta; Magnoliopsida; Fabales; Fabaceae. The record is from RNAcentral.